Molecule: small nuclear RNA, 134 nt
Organism: Ochotona princeps (American pika)
Lineage: Eukaryota; Metazoa; Chordata; Mammalia; Lagomorpha; Ochotonidae
Gene: U5
Rfam family: U5 spliceosomal RNA
About the family: U5 RNA is a component of both types of known spliceosome. The precise function of this molecule is unknown, though it is known that the 5' loop is required for splice site selection and p220 binding, and that both the 3' stem-loop and the Sm site are important for Sm protein binding and cap methylation.
Source: Ensembl
AUACUCUGGUUUCUCUUCAGAUCGUAUAAAUCUUUCGCCUUUUACUAAAGAUUUCCACGGAUAGGAUCAAUUCUGAGUCUUUACAGCAUGCCCCACAUCCAGGACUUGGGGUGGGUGGGAAACCGGGUGGGGCU